UACUGAAAAUGCUUCAGGAGGGAGAGA
This 27-nucleotide non-coding RNA is filed under the name Mus musculus (house mouse). The record is from RNAcentral. Lineage: Eukaryota; Metazoa; Chordata; Mammalia; Rodentia; Muridae.